GGGGCUAUAGCUCAACGGCAGAGCAGGGAACUCAUAAUUCCUUGGUUCCUGGUUCGAAUCCAGGUAGCCCCA
This 72-nucleotide transfer RNA is filed under the name bacterium. Its description in RNAcentral is "tRNA-Met". It matches the Rfam family "tRNA". From Rfam's summary of the family: Transfer RNA (tRNA) molecules are approximately 80 nucleotides in length. Their secondary structure includes four short double-helical elements and three loops (D, anti-codon, and T loops). RNAcentral also lists the same sequence under 3 other names. The record is from RNAcentral.